GGAAGGAUCAUUACCGAGUGUAGGGUUCCUAGCGAGCCCAACCUCCCACCCGUGUUUACUGUACCUUAGUUGCUUCGGCGGGCCCGCCAUUCAUGGCCGCCGGGGGCUCUCAGCCCCGGGCCCGCGCCCGCCGGAGACACCACGAACUCUGUCUGAUCUAGUGAAGUCUGAGUUGAUUGUAUCGCAAUCAGUUAAAACUUUCAACAAUGGAUCUCUUGGUUCCGGCAUCGAUGAAGAACGCAGCGAAAUGCGAUAACUAGUGUGAAUUGCAGAAUUCCGUGAAUCAUCGAGUCUUUGAACGCACAUUGCGCCCCCUGGUAUUCCGGGGGGCAUGCCUGUCCGAGCGUCAUUGCUGCCCAUCAAGCACGGCUUGUGUGUUGGGUCGUCGUCCCCUCUCCGGGGGGGACGGGCCCCAAAGGCAGCGGCGGCACCGCGUCCGAUCCUCGAGCGUAUGGGGCUUUGUCACCCGCUCUGUAGGCCCGGCCGGCGCUUGCCGAACGCAAAUCAAUCUUUUUCCAGGUUGACCUCGGAUCAGGUAGGGAUACCCGCUGAACUUAAGCAUAUCAAUAAGCGGAGGAAAAGAAACCAACCGGGAUUGCCUCAGUAACGGCGAGUGAAGCGGCAAGAGCUCAAAUUUGAAAGCUGGCUCCUUCGGGGUCCGCAUUGUAAUUUGCAGAGGAUGCUUCGGGUGCGGCCCCUGUCUAAGUGCCCUGGAACGGGCCGUCAGAGAGGGUGAGAAUCCCGUCUGGGAUGGGGUGUCCGCGCCCGUGUGAAGCUCCUUCGACGAGUCGAGUUGUUUGGGAAUGCAGCUCUAAAUGGGUGGUAAAUUUCAUCUAAAGCUAAAUACUGGCCGGAGACCGAUAGCGCACAAGUAGAGUGAUCGAAAGAUGAAAAGCACUUUGAAAAGAGAGUUAAAAAGCACGUGAAAUUGUUGAAAGGGAAGCGCUUGCGACCAGACUCGCCUCCAGGGUUCAGCCGGCAUUCGUGCCGGUGUACUUCCCUGGGGGCGGGCCAGCGUCGGUUUGGGCGGCCGGUCAAAGGCUCCCGGAAUGUAGUGCCCUCCGGGGCACCUUAUAGCCGGGAGUGCAAUGCGGCCAGCCUGGACCGAGGAACGCGCUUCGGCACGGACGCUGGCAUAAUGGUCGUAAACGACCCGUCUUGAAACACGGACCAAGGAGUCUAACAUCUACGCGAGUGUUCGGGUGUCAAACCCGUCCGCGCAGUGAAAGCGAACGGAGGUGGGAGCCCCCCGGGGCGCACCAUCGACCGAUCCUGAUGUCUUCGGAUGGAUUUGAGUAAGAGCGUAAAUGUGGGGACCCGAAAGAUGGUGAACUAUGCCUGAAUAGGGCGAAGCCAGAGGAAACUCUGGUGGAGGCUCGCAGCGGUUCUGACGUGCAAAUCGAUCGUCAAAUUUGGGUAUAGGGGCGAAAGACUAAUCGAACCAUCUAGUAGCUGGUUCCUGC
RNAcentral lists this unclassified non-coding RNA (1463 nucleotides) under uncultured Eurotiales. Its description in RNAcentral is "sequence contains 18S rRNA gene, ITS1, 5.8S rRNA gene, ITS2, 28S rRNA gene". The stretch from base 522 to 1463 matches the Rfam family "Eukaryotic large subunit ribosomal RNA", at positions 1 to 961 of the family's 3401-position model. The record is from RNAcentral. Lineage: Eukaryota; Fungi; Ascomycota; Eurotiomycetes; Eurotiales.